GGGCCUGUGGUCUAGUGGAUAUGGCGUCGGGCUUCGGACCCGAAGAACGUGGGUUCAAAUCCCAUCAGGCCCGC
Molecule: transfer RNA, 74 nt
Filed under: Euryarchaeota archaeon ADurb.Bin023
Lineage: Archaea; Methanobacteriati; Methanobacteriota
Description: tRNA-Arg
Rfam family: tRNA
About the family: Transfer RNA (tRNA) molecules are approximately 80 nucleotides in length. Their secondary structure includes four short double-helical elements and three loops (D, anti-codon, and T loops). Further hydrogen bonds mediate the characteristic L-shaped molecular structure. tRNAs have two regions of fundamental functional importance: the anti-codon, which is responsible for specific mRNA codon recognition, and the 3' end, to which the tRNAs corresponding amino acid is attached (by aminoacyl-tRNA synthetases). tRNAs cope with the degeneracy of the genetic code in two manners: having more than one tRNA (with a specific anti-codon) for a particular amino acid; and 'wobble' base-pairing, i.e. permitting non-standard base-pairing at the 3rd anti-codon position.
Source: RNAcentral